GACGAACGCUGGCGGCGUGCUUAACACAUGCAAGUCGAACGAUGAACCAGGGCUUGCCCUGGGGAUUAGUGGCGAACGGGUGAGUAACACGUGGGCAACCUGCCCCAGACACCGGGAUAACCAUCCGAAAGGAUGGCUAAUACCGGAUAUGACCACUUUGGGCAUCCAACGGUGGUGGAAAGGAUUCUGGUCUGGGAUGGGCCCGCGGCCUAUCAGCUAGUUGGUGGGGUAAUGGCCUACCAAGGCGACGACGGGUAGCCGGCCUGAGAGGGCGACCGGCCACACUGGGACUGAGACACGGCCCAGACUCCUACGGGAGGCAGCAGUGGGGAAUAUUGCGCAAUGGGCGAAAGCCUGACGCAGCGACGCCGCGUGAGGGACGAAGGUCUUCGGAUUGUAAACCUCUUUCAGCAGGGACGAAGCGAAAGUGACUGUACCUGCAGAAGAAGCACCGGCUAACUACGUGCCAGCAGCCGCGGUAA
Molecule: ribosomal RNA, 482 nt
Filed under: uncultured bacterium
Lineage: Bacteria
Description: bacterial SSU rRNA
Rfam family: Bacterial small subunit ribosomal RNA
Source: RNAcentral